GCGGGAAUAGCUCAAUGGUAGAGCAUUAGCCUUCCAAGCUAAGUGUUGCGGGUUCAAUCCCCGUUUCCCGCUCCA
This 75-nucleotide transfer RNA is filed under the name Deltaproteobacteria bacterium. RNAcentral's name for it is "tRNA-Gly". It matches the Rfam family "tRNA". From Rfam's summary of the family: Transfer RNA (tRNA) molecules are approximately 80 nucleotides in length. Lineage: Bacteria; Pseudomonadati; Myxococcota; Myxococcia. The record is from RNAcentral.